UUUGAUAAUGGCAAACCAAUAUCGGGAUAUGCAUAUUAAUGACAGUUCAAGACAAGUAUUCCUCCUCAAUUUAUGAGUUCCCCCUGCAAAUGUUUAUUAGUGUGCAUAGCCCAUAUUCUUCCCCCUUUUGACAUUAACAAAAAGCAAUAAAAUUUUUAUUAGAAAAUAGUGGAAUACAUAAUAAGACUUAAAAACAGAAAAUUAAUCAACUACAAGCAAGAAAAAAUUAUUCAUUGUCAUCCUCAU
This 246-nucleotide long non-coding RNA is filed under the name Nicotiana benthamiana. RNAcentral's name for it is "long non-coding RNA (NBEN_LNC035393)". Lineage: Eukaryota; Viridiplantae; Streptophyta; Magnoliopsida; Solanales; Solanaceae. The record is from RNAcentral.